UCGCUCCUACCGAUUGGAUGGUCCGGUGAGGUUUUCGGAUUGGUUCUGCUGACCUGGUUCGCCAGGACUCGGAGCCGAGAAGUCAAUCUAACCUUAUCAUCUAGAGGAAGGAA
RNAcentral lists this ribosomal RNA (113 nucleotides) under uncultured eukaryote. Its description in RNAcentral is "partial small subunit ribosomal RNA". It matches the Rfam family "Eukaryotic small subunit ribosomal RNA", at positions 1676 to 1785 of the family's 1831-position model. The record is from RNAcentral.